AAGGCUUUAAUUUUCUUUGAGAUUUUCGCUUGCACUUGUUUCAAGUGUUUUGCGUAGUUUAAUUGAAGCCGAAAUGCGUGUUCCCCUCGCUAUCCAUUGUUGCAAUUUGAUGCUGCAUUUGGACGUCGGGGAACUAAAUCC
This is a non-coding RNA of Vigna angularis (adzuki bean), 141 nucleotides long. The record is from Rfam. NCBI's taxonomy places the organism in Eukaryota, Viridiplantae, Streptophyta, Magnoliopsida, Fabales, Fabaceae.